Molecule: ribosomal RNA, 596 nt
Filed under: uncultured fungus
Lineage: Eukaryota; Fungi
Description: eukaryotic LSU rRNA
Rfam family: Eukaryotic large subunit ribosomal RNA
Source: RNAcentral
AGCAUAUCAAUAAGCGGAGGAAAAGAAACCAACAGGGAUUGCCCCAGUAACGGCGAGUGAAGCGGCAACAGCUCAGAUUUGAAAUCUGGCCCUUACGGGGUCCGAGUUGUAAUCUGUAGAGGAUGCUUUUGGCGACGCGCCUUCCGAGUCCCCUGGAACGGGGCGCCAGAGAGGAUGAGAGCCCCGUAUGGUUGGACGCCGAACCUUUGUAAAGCUCCUUCGACGAGUCGAGUAGUUUGGGAAUGCUGCUCAAAAUGGGAGGUAAAUUUCUUCUAAAGCUAAAUACCGGCCAGAGACCGAUAGCGCACAAGUAGAGUGAUCGAAAGAUGAAAAGCACUUUGAAAAGAGGGUCAAAUAGCACGUGAAAUUGCUGAAAGGGAAGCGCUUGUGACCAGACUUGCGCCCGGUUGAUCAUCCAGCGUUCUCGCUGGUGCACUCUGCCGGGCUCAGGCCAGCAUCGGCUUUCCCAGGGGGAUAAAGGUCGCGGGAACGUAGCUCUCUCCGGGGAGUGUUAUAGCCCGUGGCGGAAUGCCCUUAGGGGGGGCCGAGGCUCGCGUUCGCAAGGAUGCNGGCGUAAUGGUCACCAGCGACCCGUC